Molecule: long non-coding RNA, 515 nt
Filed under: Salvia miltiorrhiza (redroot sage)
Lineage: Eukaryota; Viridiplantae; Streptophyta; Magnoliopsida; Lamiales; Lamiaceae
Description: long non-coding RNA (SMIL_LNC011361)
Source: RNAcentral
UUCUUGCUCCUGUUGUCUUUUUUUCAACCUUCUUCCCUCUGUUGCCGUGACUUUUUCCUGUUUCUGUGUCAUGUUCUGUCUCUGAUUCAAUUCUUGCUUUUUUUUUCAACAUUCUUCUCUUUUUGAUGCAUUGACUUUUUUCUAUUUGUGUGUCAUUUUCCGUCUCUGAUUCAAUUUUUGUUUCUAUUGUCUUUUUUUCAACCUUUUUUCCUCUGUUGCCUUGACUUUUUUCUGUUUGUGUGUCCUAGUCUGUUUCUGUGUCACUGUCUUCAUCAACUUGUGUUUCUCUUUCGGUUUGCUCAUCUUAUGUUUCCUGCUGUUCUUCAGUUUUCUCUUCCUCUUCUUCAUUUUCAGCUGGUGUCGAUUUUGGUGUGUAGAACUUCACCGACUUUUGUGUCAGCUGACUAUUGCUCUCUUCGAUUUGGACCCUAUUGUAUUUGUCUUUUGCAUAAUUCAGUGACAGUGGCUUAUCCUCAGGCUCUAUGGAAAGCCAAUAUUCUGUUUCACUUUCUUCA